AGGGGUUUAGGAUAACAAAAGACCGAGAGCCUUCAAAGCCCUAAGCAAGUGUGAAAUACUUAACCCCUG
This 69-nucleotide transfer RNA is filed under the name Megatherium americanum. Its description in RNAcentral is "tRNA-Trp". Lineage: Eukaryota; Metazoa; Chordata; Mammalia; Pilosa; Megatheriidae. The record is from RNAcentral.